RNAcentral lists this ribosomal RNA (426 nucleotides) under uncultured bacterium. Its description in RNAcentral is "bacterial SSU rRNA". It matches the Rfam family "Bacterial small subunit ribosomal RNA", at positions 356 to 773 of the family's 1533-position model. The record is from RNAcentral.
GGGGAAUCUUGCACAAUGGGCGAAAGCCUGAUGCAGCAACGCCGCGUGAGUGAAGAAGGCCUUUGGGUCGUAAAGCUCUUUCGGCCGGGAAGAAGGGUCCAUCCGCUAAUAUCGUAUGGAUUUGACGGUACCGGAAGAAGAAGCACCGGCUAACUUCGUGCCAGCAGCCGCGGUAAUACGAAGGGUGCAAGCGUUGUUCGGAAUUAUUGGGCGUAAAGCGCGCGUAGGCGGGCUUGUAAGUCGAUUGUGAAAUCCCCGGGCUUAACCUGGGAAUUGCAGUCGAAACUGCAAGUCUUGAAUGUUUGAGAGGAUGGCGGAAUUCCUGGUGUAGUAGUGAAAUACGUAGAUAUCAGGAGGAACACCGGAGGCGAAGGCGGCUAUCUGGCAAUACAUUGACGCUGAGGCGCGAAAGCGUGGGGAUCAAAC